GAUGAAGAAUGUAGCGAAAUGCGAUAAGUAAUGUGAAUUGCAGAAUUCAGUGAAUCAUCGAAUCUUUGAACGCACAUUGCGCCCGCUAGUAUUCUGGCGGGCAUGCCUGUCCGAGCGUCAUUUCAACCCUCAAGCCCCCGGGCUUGGUGUUGGGGAUCGGCGAGCCUCCGCGCCCGCCGUCCCCUAAAUCUAGUGGCGGUCUCGCUGUAGCUUCCUCUGCGUAGUAGCACACCUCGCACUGGGAAACAGCGCGGCCACGCCGUUAAACCCCCAACUUCUGAACGUUUGACCUCGGAUCAGGUAGGAAUACCCGCUGAACUUAAGCAUAUCAAUAAGCGGAGGA
RNAcentral lists this unclassified non-coding RNA (343 nucleotides) under soil metagenome. Its description in RNAcentral is "partial contains 5.8S ribosomal RNA, internal transcribed spacer 2, and large subunit ribosomal RNA". The stretch from base 1 to 120 matches the Rfam family "5.8S ribosomal RNA", at positions 35 to 154 of the family's 154-position model. The record is from RNAcentral.